UGAUCCUGCCAGUAGUCAUACGCUCGUCUCAAAGAUUAAGCCAUGCAUGUAGCGAUUCAUUUUAUACUGUGAAACUGCGAACGGCUCAUUAUAUCAGUUAUAGUUUAUUUGAUAAAUAACUUACUACUUGGAUAACCGUAGUAAUUCUAGAGCUAAUACAUGCACCAAAUCCCGACUGUUAUGGAAGGGAUGUAUUUAUUAGAUAUCAACCAAUACUCUUCGGAGUUUUUCGGUGAGUCAUAAUAACUUUGCGAAUCGCAGCGGACUUUUGUUCGGCGAUGAAUCAUUCAAGUUUCUGCCCUAUCAGCUUUCGAUGGUAGUGUAUUGGACUACCAUGGCGGUGACGGGUAACGGAGAAUUAGGGUUCGAUUCCGGAGAGGGAGCCCGAGAAACGGCUACCACAUCUAAGGAAGGCAGCAGGCGCGCAAAUUACCCAAUCCCGAUAUGGGGAGGUAGUGACAAGAAAUAACGAGGCGGGCCACUACGUGGUUACGCUAUUGGAAUGAGUAGAAUCUAAAUCACUUUACGACUAUCCAUUGGAGGGCAAGUCUGGUGCCAGCAGCCGCGGUAAUUCCAGCUCCAAUAGCGUAUAUUAAAGUUGUUGCGGUUAAAAAGCUCGUGAGGUUGGGAUUUCUGCGGGGGACCGAACGGUCCACCUUAUGGGUGAGUAUCUGUCAGGCCCUUGCAUUCCUCGUGGGGAACGUCGCUGCGCUUUAUUGCGUGGUACGGAAUCCACGACUUUUACUUUGAGGAAAUUAGAGUGUUCACGGCAGGCAAACGCCCUGAAUAUGUUAGCAUGGAAUAAUAAUAUAGGACUUUGGUCUUAUUUUGUUGGUUUCUAGGACUAAAGUAAUGAUAAAUAGGGACAGUUGGGGGUAUUUGUAUUAAUGCGUCAGAGGUGGAAAUUCUUGGAUUGCAUUACGACAAACUACUGCGAAAGCAUUUACCAAAGGAUGUUUUUCAUUGAUCAAGAACGAAAGUAUGGGGAUCGAAGACGAUUAGAUACCGUCGUAGUCUAUACCAUAAACUAUGCCAAUUAGGAAUCUUGGGGAUGUAUAAUCUAUGACUCCCAAGGCGCCUUAGAGAAAUUAAAAUUUUUGGGUUCCGGGGGGAGUAUGGUCGCAAGGCUGAACCUUAACGGAAUUGACGCAGGCACCCCACCAGAAGUGGAGCCUGCGGCUUAAUUUGACUCAACACGGGGAAACUUACCAGGUCCAGACAUAGAUAGGAUUGACAGAUUGAUAGCUCUUUCUUGAUUCUAUGGGUGGUGGUGCAUGGCCGUUCCUAGUUGGUGGAGUGAUUUGUCUGCUUAAUUGCGUUAACGAACGAGACCUUAAUCUGCUAAAUAGCUGAACGUAACUCCGGUUAUAUUCCUAGCUUCUUAGAGAGACUUUCAGCUUCAAGUUGAAGGAAGUUUGAGGCAAUAACAGGUCUGUGAUGCCCUUAGAUGUUCUGGGCUGCACGCGCGCUACACUGAUGCGUUCAACGAGUAUCAACCUUAGCAGACAUGCUUGGGUAAUCUUUUGAAAACGCAUCGUGAUGGGGAUAGAUUAUUGUAAUUAUUAGUCUUGAACGAGGAAUUCCUAGUAUGGGCGAUUCAUCAGAUCGCUCAGAUUACGUCCCUGCCCUUUGUACACACCGCCCGUCGCUCCUACCGAUUGAGUGGUCCGGUGAGUAAUUUGGACGGACUUUCUUCGGCGCAAGCUGAGUGAGUCUGAAAAUCUAGCAAACCUUAUCACUUAGAGGAAGGAGAAGUCGUAACAAGGUUUCCGUAGGU
Molecule: ribosomal RNA, 1777 nt
Filed under: uncultured eukaryote
Lineage: Eukaryota
Description: SSU rRNA
Rfam family: Eukaryotic small subunit ribosomal RNA
Source: RNAcentral